AUUUAAAUAGCUUAUAAGAUAGAGCAUAGUAUUGAAGAUACUAGAGAGACAAAUGUCUUUAAAUA
RNAcentral lists this transfer RNA (65 nucleotides) under Trigonopterus selaruensis. RNAcentral describes it as "tRNA-Phe". The record is from RNAcentral. Lineage: Eukaryota; Metazoa; Arthropoda; Insecta; Coleoptera; Curculionidae.